RNAcentral lists this transfer RNA (72 nucleotides) under Canis lupus familiaris (dog). It matches the Rfam family "tRNA". From Rfam's summary of the family: Transfer RNA (tRNA) molecules are approximately 80 nucleotides in length. The record is from Rfam by way of RNAcentral. Lineage: Eukaryota; Metazoa; Chordata; Mammalia; Carnivora; Canidae.
ACCCAGGUGGCUCAGUUGAAGAGCAUGCGACUCUUGAUCUCAGGGUCAUGAGUUCAAGCCCCACUUUAGGUG